Molecule: ribosomal RNA, 484 nt
Filed under: uncultured bacterium
Lineage: Bacteria
Description: partial 16S ribosomal RNA
Rfam family: Bacterial small subunit ribosomal RNA
Source: RNAcentral
AUUGAACGCUGGCGGCAUGCCUUACACAUGCAAGUCGAACGGCAGCGCGGACUUCGGUCUGGCGGCGAGUGGCGAACGGGUGAGUAAUACAUCGGAACGUACCCUGUUGUGGGGGAUAACUAGUCGAAAGAUUAGCUAAUACCGCAUACGACCUGAGGGUGAAAGUGGGGGACCGCAAGGCCUCACGCAGCAGGAGCGGCCGAUGUCUGAUUAGCUAGUUGGUGGGGUAAAGGCCCACCAAGGCGACGAUCAGUAGCUAGUCUGAGAGGACGAUCAGCCACACUGGGACUGAGGCACGGCCCAGACUCCUACGGGAGGCAGCAGUGGGGAAUUUUGGACAAUGGGGGCAACCCUGAUCCAGCAAUGCCGCGUGUGUGAAGAAGGCCUUCGGGUUGUAAAGCACUUUUGUCCGGAAAGAAAUCGCGCUGGUUAAUACCUGGCGUGGAUGACGGUACCGGAAGAAUAAGCACCGGCUAACUACGUG